This is a long non-coding RNA of Dendrobium catenatum, 887 nucleotides long. RefSeq lists it as uncharacterized. The record is from RefSeq and is a predicted model, not a curated record. The transcript is spliced from 3 exons. NCBI's taxonomy places the organism in Eukaryota, Viridiplantae, Streptophyta, Magnoliopsida, Asparagales, Orchidaceae.
AGGUUAAGGGCCUUGAGCAACCAAUGCAGUUCACUAAAGCAACAAGUAAAUCUACUGCUGAAGAAGGGUUUUUGGUACAAAAGAAUGUUUGAAAUAAGAAAUUCGAACCUGCAGACAGCUGAGGCUGAGGUCGAUCUACUUGGUGAUGAGGUAGAUGCACUUUUGUCUGUUCUUGGAAAGGUAUAUGUAGCACUUGAUCAUUACUCACCAGUGUUGCAACACUAUCCCGGGGUUAUGGAAAUUCUAAAACUGGUUCAAAGAGAACUCCAAGGUGAAACAGCUACAUCAAGGUGAUUCAGAAUCUGGUUGAAUGUCUAAGAUGAUUGCUUGCUGGUAGAUUUAUAAGCCUCUCUGAUCCACCAUUUACGCUCUCAUUCUGGUAAUUUGUCAGAAUUACCUCUGAAGUUGGUCGUCUAUUUUGAGUUUAUGUUCAGUUGCUGCAACUAAGAACAUUCAGGCUCUUUCUUAUUGUUUCUUAAAGCAGUUUUUUCGUAAAAAAUUAAAAAAUUUGUACUAAAAAGCUGCUUUAAGAAGCAGAAAGAAAGUCGUCCCAAACGAAUCCUCAGUCUCAUGCCCAUUCUUUCAUUCAACUUCUACAAUAAAGCUCAGAUGUUAUCAGCUCUUCAGAGCAAUGCAAAGCAGCAAUUUCUUGUUUAUUUUUUGCAGAUCAGUGUACAGUAUUAGUUCAAUUUCUUUGGCUCAGAUUAUGUUAUUCUGAAGUAGUUGAAGGGUAGGGAGAUAUUUAUUGAGAUUUCUGUGAGUUAUUGAACUGUGGUGGUUCAAAGCUGAGAGAAUCUGUAGAGCUCUUCUUUGGUUGUAAAAAUGAAAAUGUGGCUAUGUAUUUCAGAUAUAUGUAAAUGGAAAUGGUUGCCUGCUUUAUUUAUCUA